UACGAAGGGUGCAAGCGUUAAUCGGAAUUACUGGGCGUAAAGCGCGCGUAGGUGGUUCAGCAAGUUGGAUGUGAAAUCCCCGGGCUCAACCUGGGAACUGCAUUUGUGACUGCAUGGCUAGAGUACGGUAGAGGGGGAUGGAAUUCCGCGUGUAGCAGUGAAAUGCGUAGAUAUGCGGAGGAACACCGAUGGCGAAGGCAAUCCCCUGGACCUGUACUGACGCUCAUGCACGAAAGCGUGGGGAGCAAACAGG
This 253-nucleotide ribosomal RNA is filed under the name uncultured prokaryote. RNAcentral's name for it is "partial 16S ribosomal RNA". It matches the Rfam family "Bacterial small subunit ribosomal RNA", at positions 524 to 776 of the family's 1533-position model. The record is from RNAcentral.